Molecule: non-coding RNA, 721 nt
Filed under: Ixodes trichosuri
Lineage: Eukaryota; Metazoa; Arthropoda; Arachnida; Ixodida; Ixodidae
Source: RNAcentral
GAAUUUAAACAUGGUUUUUAAAGAAAAAGUUUUUAAUAGUCUUUAUAUAUUAAAUUUAUAAAAUAUAAAAAAAAUAUAGAAGAAAGUUUUUUUUUAUUUUCAUUAAUAUGAAAUAAGUUAUUAAUUUUUAAACUUGGCGAUGCUUGUGCCAGCCGCCGCGGUUAUACAAGCAAGUUAAUUUUUCUUUUUCUAUUAAGAAAAAGAAAAUUAAUUUAGUAAUAAUUUUUAUAGGUGAAAUUAAAAAAUUUAAAGUUUUUGUUAAUUUGUUUCUUAAAAAUUUAUUUAAUAAACUAGGAUUAGAUACCCUAUUAUUAUAAGCUUUAUUUUGUUAGUAUAUAUAAUUUAUGAAAUCAAAAAGUUUUGGCGGUAUUUUAAGCUUUUUAGAGGAAUUUGCUCUAUAAUGGAUAAAACCCCUAAAUCUUACUUAAUCUUGUUAAGUUCAGUUUGUAUACCACUAUGAUUAAUUAUAUUGAAUAAUUAAUUAUUACAAUUUUUUAUUUUAAAAAGAAAAUUAAGUCAAGGUGCAAUUUAAGAUUAUGAAUGAAGUGAAUUACAUUGAUUUUUAUAAGUUUAAUAAGUUGAAAUAUAAAAUAUUAGGAUUUAAAAGUAAAUAAAAAAUAUUAUGUUUUAUUGAAUAAAGCUCUAAAAUAUGCACAUAUCGCCCGUCGCUCUCUUUUAAGAGAUAAGUCGUAACAAAGUAAAAAUACUGGAAAGUGUUUUU